Rosa chinensis is the source of this 211-nucleotide long non-coding RNA. RefSeq lists it as uncharacterized. Lineage: Eukaryota; Viridiplantae; Streptophyta; Magnoliopsida; Rosales; Rosaceae. The record is from RefSeq and is a predicted model, not a curated record. The transcript has 3 exons.
GAAAGAUUGGAACUUUUGUUGAAUUAAGCUUUAAUUUUCCAUUUGCAGGUGUCCCAAGUGUGUGGAAUUGAAGCUUCCUGGUGAAGAUGCCGCUUUCUGCACUCAGGAUUGUUUUAAGGCUUCGUGGAGCUUGCAUAAAUCGGUACAUUUAAAGGGAAAGGAGUGCCUAAUUUCUGGUUGUAUGCUUUAAAAGGCUGUGCCACGUUAGAUG